CCUACGAGAGGCAGCAGUGGGGAAUAUUGCACAAUGGGGGAAACCCUGAUGCAGCGACGCCGCGUGCGUGAAGAAGUAUUUCGGUAUGUAAAGCUCUGUCAGCAGGGAAGAAAGAAAUGACGGUACCUGACCAAGAAGCCCCGGCUAACUACGUGCCAGCAGCCGCGGUAAUCCGUAGGGGGCAAGCGUUAACCGGUAUUACUGGGUGUAAAGGGAGCGUAGACGGUAAUGCAAGUCUGGAGUGAAAGGCGGGGGCCCAACCCCCGGACUGCGCUGGAAACUGUGUAACUUGAGUGCAGGAGAGGUAAGCGGAAUUCCUAGUGUAGCGGUGAAAUGCGUAGAUAUUAGGAGGAACACCAGUGGCGAAGGCGGCUUACUGGACUGUAACUGACGUUGAGGCUCGAAAGCGUGGGGAGCAAACAGGAUUAGAUACCCCUGUAGUC
RNAcentral lists this ribosomal RNA (443 nucleotides) under uncultured bacterium. RNAcentral describes it as "partial 16S ribosomal RNA". It matches the Rfam family "Bacterial small subunit ribosomal RNA", at positions 338 to 795 of the family's 1533-position model. The record is from RNAcentral.